RNAcentral lists this ribosomal RNA (374 nucleotides) under uncultured eukaryote. Its description in RNAcentral is "partial 18S ribosomal RNA". It matches the Rfam family "Eukaryotic small subunit ribosomal RNA", at positions 592 to 975 of the family's 1831-position model. The record is from RNAcentral.
CAAUAGCGUAUAUUUAAGUUGUUGCAGUUAAAAAGCUCGUAGUUGGAUUUCGGUUAAGAGCGACCGGUCCGCCGUUUGGUGUGCACUGGUUGGUUUUAACUUCCUGUAGAGGACGUGCUCUGGGUUUAACGACCUGGACUCGGAGUCUACGUGGUUACUUUGAAAAAAUUAGAGUGCUCAAAGCGGGCUUACGCUUGAAUAUUUCAGCAUGGAAUAACACUAUAGGACUCCUGUCCUAUUUCGUUGGUCUCGGGACGGGAGUAAUGAUUAAGAGGAACAGUUGGGGGCAUUCGUAUUUCAUUGUCAGAGGUGAAAUUCUUGGAUUUAUGAAAGACGAACUUCUGCGAANGNAUUUGCNAAGGAUGUUUNCAUUA